UACGAGGGGUGCAAGCGUUGCUCGGAAUUAUUGGGCGUAAAGAGCUCGUAGGCGGUCUGUCGCGUCGGCUGUGAAAACCCGGAGCUCAACUCCGGGCCUGCAGUCGAUACGGGCAGACUGGAGUUCGGCAGGGGAGACUGGAAUUCCUGGUGUAGCGGUGAAAUGCGCAGAUAUCAGGAGGAACACCGGUGGCGAAGGCGGGUCUCUGGGCCGAUACUGACGCUGAGGAGCGAAAGCGUGGGGAGCGAACAGG
Molecule: ribosomal RNA, 253 nt
Filed under: uncultured bacterium
Lineage: Bacteria
Description: partial 16S ribosomal RNA
Rfam family: Bacterial small subunit ribosomal RNA
Source: RNAcentral